Molecule: ribosomal RNA, 465 nt
Filed under: Vreelandella stevensii
Lineage: Bacteria; Pseudomonadati; Pseudomonadota; Gammaproteobacteria; Oceanospirillales; Halomonadaceae
Description: partial 16S ribosomal RNA
Rfam family: Bacterial small subunit ribosomal RNA
Source: RNAcentral
CCUACGGGAGGCAGCAGUGGGGAAUAUUGGACAAUGGGGGCAACCCUGAUCCAGCCAUGCCGCGUGUGUGAAGAAGGCCCUCGGGUUGUAAAGCACUUUCAGUGAGGAAGAACGCCUGGUGGUUAAUACCCAUCAGGAAAGACAUCUCUCACAGAAGAAGCACCGGCUAACUCCGUGCCAGCAGCCGCGGUAAUACGGAGGGUGCGAGCGUUAAUCGGAAUUACUGGGCGUAAAGCGCGCGUAGGUGGCUUGAUAAGCCGGUUGUGAAAGCCCCGGGCUCAACCUGGGAACGGCAUCCGGAACUGUCAAGCUAGAGUGCAGGAGAGGAAGGUAGAAUUCCCGGUGUAGCGGUGAAAUGCGUAGAGAUCGGGAGGAAUACCAGUGGCGAAGGCGGCCUUCUGGACUGACACUGACACUGAGGUGCGAAAGCGUGGGUAGCAAACAGGAUUAGAUACCCUAGUAGUC